This 544-nucleotide ribosomal RNA is filed under the name Cystobasidium pinicola. RNAcentral's name for it is "partial large subunit ribosomal RNA". It matches the Rfam family "Eukaryotic large subunit ribosomal RNA", at positions 93 to 624 of the family's 3401-position model. The record is from RNAcentral. Lineage: Eukaryota; Fungi; Basidiomycota; Cystobasidiomycetes; Cystobasidiales; Cystobasidiaceae.
GUGAAGUGGGAAAAGCUCAACUUUAAAAUCUGGCAGCUUCGCUGUCCGAGUUGUAGUCUCGAGAAGUGUUUUCCGCGCUGGAUCGUGUAUGAGUCUGUUGGAAUACAGCGUCAUAGAGGGUGAGAACCCCGUUCAUGACACGACUACCAGUGCUUUGUGAUACACUUUCGAUGAGUCGAGUUGUUUGGGAAUGCAGCUCAAAAUGGGUGGUAAAUUCCAUCUAAAGCUAAAUAUUGGCGAGAGACCGAUAGCAAACAAGUACCGUGAGGGAAAGAUGAAAAGCACUUUGGAAAGAGAGUUAACAGUACGUGAAAUUGUCGAAAGGGAAACGCUUGAAGUCAGACGUGCGCGGUGCGAUUCAGCCUUGGUUCGCCAGGGUGUACUUCGUACCAUUGCAGGCCAGCAUCGGUUUUGUGAGCCGGAUAAAGGUUAGAGGAAGGUAGCGGUCCAGGCCGUGUUAUAGCCUCUAACUGAAUACGGAUUGUGAGACCGAGGGACGCAGCGCGCCGCAAGGCAAAGGGUCCGCCCUUUUCGCGCUUAGGAU